Molecule: non-coding RNA, 113 nt
Organism: Acanthosepion pharaonis
Lineage: Eukaryota; Metazoa; Mollusca; Cephalopoda; Sepiida; Sepiidae
Source: the annotation of a GenBank genome assembly
UUACAGUCAUAUCAUGUUGAAACUCUGGUUCUCGUACAAGCAUUGAAGUUAAGCAAUGUCAGGCCUGGUUGGUAACUAGAUGGGUGACCACUUGGGAAUGCCAGGAGCUGAAA